CGCCAUCUAUGUUUGCUCUUUUGAUUCGUUCUUGUAUUGCAAGUCUGGUGUUUUUUUUCUCGGUGGGACGAAUCUUGAGAAUUGGUCAGGAGUUGAGCGAAUGAGCGAACGAGCAUUUGAGGUUAUUGUGAAUCACGAUUUUGGUUUUUGGGUCUGUGUUUGUUUUGUGAAUACAGAUUGCUGCUUUGCCUUUUUUUGGUGAGUAGCCUGGAUCUGCGAUUUUCUCUCUGUGAGGUUCAUCUGUGCCUGUGGGCUGUAGAACUGGGUCUAAAUAAUUUCAACUUUGUGAUCAGCUUUUUCAUCAUAUGAAUUUUAGGGGUUAUCGCUCUUUAUCUGCUUGUGCUUUUGUGUUGAAAUUGUGGUGAUUGUCAAUUUAUCUGAUUUUUUGAGCUGCACGAAGGCAUGGAUUUAAUAUUUGGAGGAUUAAGCAUUUGGAUACUCAGCAAUUUGUUUUUACUGCGUUGUUAAUAUUCAUUUUUGUGGACAUGAUAGAUGCGUUGACUUGUCAUGCGCUGACUCUUAUGUGUCUCUCCCCUUUCCAGGGGAUGCUCAUGCACCUUAGAACAUAGAAAUGAGUCAUGAUCCGGUCAUGGCUUCGAUUUUGUUUGUUGCUCUAUCUUUGUGCCCUUUCUCUCUAUGAUACUGGUCUGCUCCUAUUUCAUGCAUGAUUUGAUCAACCGAGACUAAUGUGGAUCUUAUUCAGUUUAGACCUUAAAGUUGAUGCAUGAAAUUAAGUCUUCUCUCACAAUGAGCAGUUACACUGAUCUGAUUAUAACACAUAGUUCUAGGUGGCAAAACUACUUCAUCAUGUGUCUGGUCAUAUAUAUAUGUAUGUAUAACUGAGGAGAUGUUAUGAAAUUGGAGUCUCAGUCGAUUGCCUAAAGAAGCUUCGUCAAAUUUCUUAACUUGUAUGAAGUAAUUGAUGUAUCUUAUGCUUGCUGUAUUACCUCAGAGGUUAAAUUUCUUAGCGCGCUAUGUAUUUGGUGUUUCCUUGGGUUUUUCGCUUUACUGCCCAAUUAAGUGGCUCCUUGGCUCCUUUUCCUUUCAGUUGACUUGAAUUUGGUUUAGCACCAGAACCUGUAGUAUGAUCAUAUCAUCAGUAGAUUUGCACUUCUUAUUUUUUCUUUUGAGUGGAUUGGUGGUCAACUUCUUCAAGUGAGGAUAUCACUUUAAAGCUAACAUUUGUCUUGCUUGGUGUUGGCUUCCUAAGUGAAACUUGUAGUUGUCAUGUUCUAUUCCUUCCACCAACUUUUGUCUUUCCACUGUAUAUAUGUUUUGAUAUAUCUGUAUCAUCAAUUGAAUCUCUGUAGUUAUAGCGCUUCAUUUUUGGAGUAUCAUCUUUUGGUCUUCUAACAAAUUAAUUUCAUUAUAGUGGACCAUGUGCUUUGUACUUGCUCCGUAAAAGAGCCCUUUACAAUGACAUGUCAAGGUAAUGCUUUGGUGUGGUGAUAUAAGAUAGUCAAUAUACCCCAUAGGAUCAACUAAGUGGUUAAGGGCAUACUUAUAUGUGUGAAUUUGGCAUGCCGUACAAGUUUGAUUCCCUCACCACUGAGUACAAACAUUUUCAGGGGUUUGCCUACCUAAGAUCCUAAGGUGGGUGCCUCAAUCCUAGUUAUAAAAAAAUAUAAGAGUGAUUACCUAGGAGGAGUGGGAAGAAGCUAGCACAAACUUUGACAGAUCAGAAUAUGCGCUUGAGAAUCCAUGUUGUUUCAGAAUGCUUAAAUAUCAUGAAAGUGGUCGAGAUGUGAUGAUUGGUUCGUUGAUGGGGCAUUGGAAUACGAUCAAUUCUUCUUUUUGCCUUUUCUUUACAGCAAAUGAUCAAUGGAGUUAGAGUGGAUACCUGUGAUGUGAUGAAAUACUCUCUUUCUUUUCCUUUUCUAGUGAUGUUAUGAGGUACAAAUUAUUUGCUACAACGGUGGUGUGCUUAUCCUGA
Long non-coding RNA from Eucalyptus grandis, 1933 nucleotides. RefSeq lists it as uncharacterized. Lineage: Eukaryota; Viridiplantae; Streptophyta; Magnoliopsida; Myrtales; Myrtaceae. The record is from RefSeq and is a predicted model, not a curated record. The transcript has 2 exons.